AGCAGCGUGGCGCAGCGGAAGCGUGCUGCGCCCAUAACCCAGAGGUCCCUGGAUCAAAACCAGGCGCUGCUA
Molecule: transfer RNA, 72 nt
Filed under: Saccoglossus kowalevskii
Lineage: Eukaryota; Metazoa; Hemichordata; Enteropneusta; Harrimaniidae
Description: tRNA-Met
Rfam family: tRNA
About the family: Transfer RNA (tRNA) molecules are approximately 80 nucleotides in length. Their secondary structure includes four short double-helical elements and three loops (D, anti-codon, and T loops).
Source: RNAcentral